Molecule: long non-coding RNA, 441 nt
Organism: Xyrauchen texanus (razorback sucker)
Lineage: Eukaryota; Metazoa; Chordata; Actinopteri; Cypriniformes; Catostomidae
Exons: 3
Source: RefSeq, a predicted model, not a curated record
CCCAUCUUACAUUUACAUUUAUGCAUUUGGCAGACGGUUUUAUCCAAAGCGACUUACAGAGCCCUUAUUACAGGGACAAUCCCCUCGGAGCAACCUGGAGUUAAGUGCCUUGCUCAAGGACACAAUGAUGGUGGCUGUGGGGCUCGAACCAGCAUCCUUCUGAUUACCAGAUUACCAGCCCUGUCUGGCGGUCCGAAGAAGUUGUACUCGGAACCGUCAUAUCCUGCCGGAGAUAGGAGGCAGGGGCGAGGAGCCUACCCCCAUGCAGGGAAGUCCUCCAUCAUCUGGAAUGGGAUCCUCGAAUAUAACCUUCUGCAUGGCUUUAACCUCAGCAUGGGAAUUCUUUACAGAAAUUCCAUUUUCUCUUUUCCCAAAGUAUUGUUUUUGAUGUCCUCAAAACCAUCUCUCCACUCACGCCAUCCAGCCUUAAUGUCCUGGAGG